Molecule: ribosomal RNA, 708 nt
Filed under: Chlamydomonadales sp. LBA 17
Lineage: Eukaryota; Viridiplantae; Chlorophyta; Chlorophyceae; Chlamydomonadales
Description: eukaryotic LSU rRNA
Rfam family: 5.8S ribosomal RNA (bases 292-445)
Source: RNAcentral
AAGGUUUCCGUAGGUGAACCUGCGGAAGGAUCAUUGAAUCUAUCAAUACCAACACCGUGAACUCUAUUUGUUCGGUCCCCCAGAAGCGUGUGGUCGCAAGGCCAGUGGCUUCUGGUGGCUGUGUGUGGGAAGAGCAAUCUGACUGCACACAGGUCUCGGCCGCUGCAUGCUCCUGCAAAGGAGUGUGUUGGCGUGCUGGGUCGGCCACCCUAUCCAAACAACCAACACCAAACAAAACUAUCAAUUCUAUCUGAUAUGCAUCUGGCCUAGCCAAUGCAUCCUAACUGAGACAACUCUCAACAACGGAUAUCUUGGCUCUCGCAACGAUGAAGAACGCAGCGAAAUGCGAUACGUAGUGUGAAUUGCAGAAUUCCGUGAAUCAUCGAAUCUUUGAACGCAUAUUGCGCUCGAGGCUUCGGCCGAGAGCAUGUCUGCCUCAGCGUCGGGUUAAUAUCGCCAACCUAUAUACCGAGUGUAUAUAUACAUGGCGGAUCUGGCUGUUCCAGCUCUGCUGCUAUGGCAUCUGGAUCAGCUGAAGAGCAGAGGUUAACCAAGGACCCGCUAAGGGCCGCAACUGGGUGGGCUGUCAAAGGCUAUAUUCUUAGUUGUUGGUCUGGGACCAUGUGUCGACCCUCAAACAGGAAACUUAACCCUUCAUUUUCUCGACCUGAGCUCAGGCAAGAUUACCCGCUGAACUUAAGCAUAUCA